This 451-nucleotide ribosomal RNA is filed under the name uncultured bacterium. RNAcentral describes it as "partial 16S ribosomal RNA". It matches the Rfam family "Bacterial small subunit ribosomal RNA", at positions 328 to 794 of the family's 1533-position model. The record is from RNAcentral.
AUACCAGACUCCUACGGGAGGCAGCAGUGGGGAAUAUUGCACAAUGGGCGAAAGCCUGAUGCAGCAACGCCGCGUGAAGGAAGAAGGCCUUCGGGUCGUAAACUUCUGUCCUUGGGGAAAAAGAACUGACGGUACCCAAGGAGGAAGCCCCGGCUAACUACGUGCCAGCAGCCGCGGUAAUACGUAGGGGGCGAGCGUUAUCCGGAAUUACUGGGUGUAAAGGGAGCGUAGACGGCGAGGUAAGCCUGAAGUGGAAGCCCGCGGCCCAACCGCGGAACUGCUUUGGGAACUGUUUUGCUGGAGUAUGGGAGGGGUAAGCGGAAUUCCUGGUGUAGCGGUGAAAUGCGUAGAUAUCAGGAGGAACACCGGUGGCGAAGGCGGCUUACUGGACGGCAACUGACGCUGAGGCUCGAAAGCGUGGGGAGCAAACAGGAUUAGAUACCCGGGUACU